This 995-nucleotide ribosomal RNA is filed under the name uncultured bacterium EKHO-4. RNAcentral's name for it is "bacterial SSU rRNA". It matches the Rfam family "Bacterial small subunit ribosomal RNA", at positions 509 to 1504 of the family's 1533-position model. The record is from RNAcentral. Lineage: Bacteria; Bacillati; Bacillota.
CAGCAGCCGCGGUAAUACGUAGGGGCUAAGCGUUAUCCGGAUUUAUUGGGCGUAAAGCAUUAGCAGGUGGUUAGAUUAGUCAAAUGUGAAAGCCCGCGGCUUAACCGUGGAGGGUCAUUUGAAACUGUCUAACUGGAGUACGGUAGAGGUUAGUGGAAUGCAAUGUGUAGCGGUAAAAUGCGUAGAUAUAUUGCGGAACACCAGUGGCGAAGGCGGCUAACUGGACCGGAACUGACACUGAGGCACGAAAGCGUGGGUAGCAAACAGGAUUAGAUACCCUGGUAGUCCACGCCGUAAACGAUGAGAACUAAGUGUUGGGGUUAAACCCAGUGCUGAAGUUAACGCAUUAAGUUCUCCGCCUGGGGAUUACGGCCGCAAGGCUAAAACUCAAAAGAAUUGACGGGUCUCCGCACAAGCGGUGGAGCAUGUUGGUUAAUUCGAAGAUACGCGAAGAACCUCACCAGGUCUUGACAUAUUCCUGACGUCUGUAGAAAUACAGAUUCCCUUCGGGGCAGGUAUACAGGUGGUGCAUGGUUGUCGUCAGCUCGUGUCGUGAGAUGUUGGGUUAAGUCCCGUAACGAGCGCAACCCCUAUCGAUAGUUGCUAACAUUAAGUUGAGGACUCUAUCGAGACUGCCAGUGAUAAACUGGAAGAAGGUGGGGAUGACGUCAAAUCAUCAUGCCCCUUAUGAUCUGGGCUACAAACGUGCUACAAUGGCCGGUACAAAGAGUUGCCAAGUCGUGAGACGGAGCUAACCUUUUAAAGCCGGUCUCAGUUCGGAUUGAAGUCUGCAACUCGACUUCAUGAAGCUGGAAUCGCUAGUAAUCGUGGGUCAGAACACCACGGUGAAUACGUUCUCGGAGAUUGUACACACCGCCCGUCACACCACGAGAGUUCGUAACACCCGAAUUACGUGGCCUAACUGCCUUUUGGCGGGAGGGUUGUAGUAAGGGUGGAGGCAGCGAUUGGGGUGAAGUCGUAACAAGGUAGCCGUA